UCUAGCUCCAUCAUAGAUUUAGGUACGAUAUCCAGUUAAAUAUGAUUUGAGACGUAUCAAAAGCCAGGCCUGCCCCCUCUAAUACCGCUUCAUCUGCCAACCUUGGCAUUAUCCUCUCCUUCUGCCUAACACAAGAAGUUAAAGUAAUUCUGCUGCACUAGGUCAGGUGGGCACCUGUGUAUCAGCUUAACCAAGACUGUAUGGAAAUGUACACUGCCUGCAAAAAAGGAGAUGAGUUAUCGAUGGCUGCUUUGAUGACCCUGUCUAAGCACGUAUCAGUUCAUCACUUGAGGCUUGUUGAACGUUGCACAGAGCCUGGCUGUGAAGACAAGAUGAUGGUCAGAUAAAUUGCAGUGCAGAGUAGCCUAGGAGUAGCACACCACAAGAUGGCGCUAGACUGGCGAGAACAGACAGUAAAAAGCCUCAGAGAAUUGAAGGAAGUAUUUUUAGUCCAUUUUGGAAGGAGGUUGCCAAGAAACAAACAUAUUUUCUUGGGAAGACACGUAUCUUUUGAUCCAGUAAGUCUGAGUCUGAAUAUUAGACUCUACUAGAAAUCAGUUGUGUGACUUUAAGCAAGGUACUCAAGCUCUGAGAGCCCUGUCUGUGAAGUGUAAGAGAUGAUGUUUGCAUCGUUGGUUGUUGGUAGUUUUAACUGAGAUGAAGUUCGGAAGGUACCUAGCACAGAGGAGGUGGCAUUCAGGCUGUGAUGCACGAUUCCACAGGGCAGCAUUCUCAGUGUGGAUGACACUGGAAGCUGUGGAACGUGGAGGCCCUAGGCAGUCAGUUAAGAUGACUGUUAUUAUUGCUGCCUUCUUCUUUUGCCCAAAGGCAGUUCCAGCCAGUCAUGUAUUGGAAUAGCACAGGAAAAUUAAUUCUCUGCUCUUUCUGUUUUACUUCUUGUUACUUUACAGCCUUAUACACAGUGUGAUGCGUGUGAAAAGGGCCUAAACUGAUAGAAGAGUGUUCCUGGUCAAAGCCCCAUUAUUCUUUAACUAAUUUGGGAAAGUGAAUCAAUUAAGAAUUUGGUCCCCAGUUUCUUCAGCUGUGAAAAGAGAGAGUUGGACCAGAUAAUCUGUAACACUCUUUCCCCAAUUCUUUGGUUUACAGGCUGGGUCCCGUUCAGUCCUUUCAUCCUGGUACAGUUGCCCAUAGAGAAGAAAUCUUGUUCUUAAGAUGGCAAUGAAAUUCUUUGAACAUGAGUUCCCAGAGAAUAGGAGAAAUGGGCCAGACUUCUCCUACAAGAAUUGAGCAGUUGCUCAAAGACGUUGGUGAUUGCGCUGGGGCUCUGUCCAGCUGAACGUCACUCCAUUCCCAUCUCCCUGGCAGUUACCCACAGUAACGAAUGCAGACUGAGAACACACUUCAAAGGAAAGCCAUCACAUCUACUCCCACUUUCUUAGCAGGUUUUCUAAAUCUUCAGAGGCUGGGAACAAAAUGUUUCUGUUAGUAGAAAAUGACAACUGUAAAUAUGAAGGGAGAAGAACCACGCGAUCAGCAAUGAGGCAUGGUAAAGCAACCAUAGGGCAGCUUUUAUCCCAAUGUAGAAACGCUUUGAAGAGAAACAGAGUUCAAGUGAAAUCUGUUAACCCAACACUGUGAGUGGGUUUCAAUGGAAGAGAAAAAACCCUGAGGCAAAAGAACUCUCAGUGGGAUCCCAUAAAAGGCUGAAGUGGGGAGACGUCUGCCUUGAGUUGGUCCUCAGCAGAACGGCAUUCUGGGGCAGUGAUGUUAACAUGCAGAAAUAAGAAGAACGGAGCACUUCAUCUUGUUGAGGAGAAUCAAUCUAUGUAGGCUUGUAGGACUGUGUCCUGUGGAUUAUUGGACUAGGAGCUGUGCCAGGUGCACUCAGAAAAAUUGGGGUCUUCUGAAUAAAGACAUUUCAGAUAAAGAAACAGAAAAAGAAAGAAGUAAAAUGACAUUUCCCACAUCACUCUGUUGGCAUGUUACAGGCCAAAGGUUUGAAGUCAUAUUAAUGUGAUCCUUUUAUUUUAUAUUUUUACAUGUAUGUAUUUUUAUUUCAUUUGCAUUUGCUAGUAAUUUUUUAAAUCCGUGUUGAAAAUGUUUAGAACCACAGUUGUAAUAAGAAGAUCCUAGUGUUUUUGUCUGAGACAGAACCUAAUAAAACUGUUUAAAAGCUGGGAUUUCUUGUAAAACGGAUGGCCAGUGGGAAGCAGCCCCAUGGCACAGGGAGAUCAGCUCGGUGCUUUG
Physeter macrocephalus (sperm whale) is the source of this 2208-nucleotide long non-coding RNA. RefSeq lists it as uncharacterized. The transcript is spliced from 4 exons. NCBI's taxonomy places the organism in Eukaryota, Metazoa, Chordata, Mammalia, Artiodactyla, Physeteridae. The record is from RefSeq and is a predicted model, not a curated record.